CAAUAGCGUAUAUUAAAGUUGUUGCAGUUAAAAAGCUCGUAGUUGAAUUUUUGCUUGCCGCCGAUGUCGGAACUUCCGUACGUUCGGCGGCGUGCAUCCUUGGGUGGAACCUGUGUGGCAUUAGGUUGUCGUGCAGGGGAUGCUCAUCGUUUACUGUGAAAAAAUUAGAGUGUUCAAAGCAGGCUUACGCCGUUGAAAAUAUUAGCAUGGAAUAAUAAGAUAGGACCUUGGUACUAUUUUGUUGGUUUGCGCACCGAGGUAAUGAUUAACAGGGACAGUUGGGGGUAUUCGUAUUCCAUUGUCAGAGGUGAAAUUCUUGGAUUUCUGGAAGACGAACUACUGCGAAAGCAUUUACCAAGGAUGUUUUCAUUAA
This 373-nucleotide ribosomal RNA is filed under the name uncultured eukaryote. Its description in RNAcentral is "partial 18S ribosomal RNA". It matches the Rfam family "Eukaryotic small subunit ribosomal RNA", at positions 592 to 976 of the family's 1831-position model. The record is from RNAcentral.